RNAcentral lists this ribosomal RNA (476 nucleotides) under uncultured organism. Its description in RNAcentral is "partial 16S ribosomal RNA". It matches the Rfam family "Bacterial small subunit ribosomal RNA", at positions 334 to 801 of the family's 1533-position model. The record is from RNAcentral.
CACUCCUACGGGAGGCAGCAGUGGGGAAUAUUGCACAAUGGGCGCAAGCCUGAUGCAGCCAUGCCGCGUGUGUGAAGAAGGCCUUCGGGUUGUAAAGCACUUUCAGCGGGGAGGAAGGCAAUGCGGUUAAUAACCGUGUUGAUUGACGUUACCCGCAGAAGAAGCACCGGCUAACUCCGUGCCAGCAGCCGCGGUAAUACGGAGGGUGCAAGCGUUAAUCGGAAUUACUGGGCGUAAAGCGCACGCAGGCGGUCUGUCAAGUCGGAUGUGAAAUCCCCGGGCUCAACCUGGGAACUGCAUUCGAAACUGGCAGGCUUGAGUCUUGUAGAGGGGGGUAGAAUUCCAGGUGUAGCGGUGAAAUGCGUAGAGAUCUGGAGGAAUACCGGUGGCGAAGGCGGCCCCCUGGACAAAGACUGACGCUCAGGUGCGAAAGCGUGGGGAGCAAACAGGAUUAGAAACCCCAGUAGUCCCAUGAU